RNAcentral lists this ribosomal RNA (254 nucleotides) under uncultured bacterium. RNAcentral's name for it is "partial 16S ribosomal RNA". It matches the Rfam family "Bacterial small subunit ribosomal RNA", at positions 524 to 776 of the family's 1533-position model. The record is from RNAcentral.
UACGAAGGGGGCUAGAGUUGCUCGGAAUCACUGGGCGUAAAGCGCACGUAGGCGGACUCUUAAGUCGGGGGUGAAAUCCUGGAGCUCAACUCCAGAACUGCCUUCGAUACUGAGAGUCUUCGAGUUCGGGAGAGGUGAGUGGAACUGCGAGUGUAGAGGUGAAAUUCGUAGAUAUUCGCAAGAACACCAGUGGCGAAGGCGGCUCACUGGCCCGAUACUGACGAUGAGGUGCGAAAUCGUGGGGAGCAAACAGG